This 491-nucleotide ribosomal RNA is filed under the name uncultured bacterium. RNAcentral's name for it is "partial 16S ribosomal RNA". It matches the Rfam family "Bacterial small subunit ribosomal RNA", at positions 36 to 506 of the family's 1533-position model. The record is from RNAcentral.
CUUUCCCUCUUUCUUUAGGCCUAACACAUGCAAGUCGAACGGCAGCACAGUAAGAGCUUGCUCUUACGGGUGGCGAGUGGCGGACGGGUGAGGAAUACAUCGGAAUCUACUUUUUCGUGGGGGAUAACGUAGGGAAACUUACGCUAAUACCGCAUACGACCUACGGGUGGAAGCAGGGGAUCUUCGGACCUUGCGCGAUUGAAUGAGCCGAUGUCGGAUUAGCUAGUUGGCGGGGUAAAGGCCCACCAAGGCGACGAUCCGUAGCUGGUCUGAGAGGAUGAUCAGCCACACUGGAACUGAGACACGGUCCAGACUCCGACGGGAGGCAGCAGUGGGGAAUAUUGGACAAUGGGCGCAAGCCUGAUCCAGCCAUACCGCGGGGGUGAAGAAGGCCUUCGGGUUGUAAAGCCCUUUUGUUGGGAAAGAAAAGCAGCAGGUUAAGACCCCUCUGUUCGGACGGGACCCAAAGAAUAAGCACCGGCGAACUUCGU